RNAcentral lists this ribosomal RNA (404 nucleotides) under uncultured Desulfovibrio sp. RNAcentral describes it as "bacterial SSU rRNA". It matches the Rfam family "Bacterial small subunit ribosomal RNA", at positions 977 to 1382 of the family's 1533-position model. Lineage: Bacteria; Pseudomonadati; Thermodesulfobacteriota; Desulfovibrionia; Desulfovibrionales; Desulfovibrionaceae. The record is from RNAcentral.
AGGUUUGACAUCCGGAAGACCUUCCGAAAGGAAGGGUGCCCUUCGGGGAAUUCCGAGACAGGUGCUGCAUGGCUGUCGUCAGCUCGUGCCGUGAGGUGUUGGGUAAGUCCCGCAACGAGCGCAACCCUAUUGCCAGUUGCUACCAGGUAAUGCUGGGCACUCUGGUGAGACUGCCCCGGUUAACGGGGAGGAAGGUGGGGACGACGUCAAGUCAUCAUGGCCCUUACGCCUAGGGCUACACACGUACUACAAUGGCGCAUACAAAGGGCAGCGAUACCGCGAGGUGGAGCCAAUCCCAAAAAGUGCGUCCCAGUCCGGAUUGCAGUCUGCAACUCGACUGCAUGAAGUUGGAAUCGCUAGUAAUUCGAGAUCAGCAUGCUCGGGUGAAUGCGUUCCCGGGCCUU